CAGUCAUGUUUUUUUGUUCCCCAACUCAGGUCGACCUUCACGUUGAAAACGCCGAGCCGCUUUUGAAGAACAUUUUCAGUCACUCUGAUGGAGAGUCUGCAGAUGAAAGUCGAAAAGAUGUGCGGUCCGAAGAGGAGAGGAGGACGAGAAGGAGAACAGAUGAUGGCCACAGAGGAGACAGAGAAAAAUGUUUGUCCAGCACCAACAGUUACCUGGACAAGGCCAGGGCCAUGUUGUUUGGGAGCAGGAGAGCAGAGGAGAGCGGGCCUGACUGUUGGGUUGGUGUGAAGGUGUUUGGCAAUGAGCUCAGCGUUUUCACAUGUGCAGAUCUCUACGACCAAAUCAACCAGCUGUCGCUGAGCGUGGCAGGACUGGCUGUCAAACUGCUCAAGGUGCUUUUUUAAAAAACGUUUUAUUUAAUCUUAAUUUUACCAGAAAAACUCCCACUGAGAUUCAAAAUCUGUUUUCACAAUGUUCUCCAGGCCAAGGCAGCUACAUAAAAAGUUUCACAUAAAGGGACAAACGGCAAAGCAACAGACAUCGAACAUGCAGCAUGUACAUCAAUAAUUGUACCAGUGUGUUUUCUCCUGUGUUCAGUCUGCCUUCCUCUUCGUCCUCCAGGGUCACGAGGUUCAGCUGAACCACAGGGCCGUGCUGAUGACAGAGGAGCUGCUUUUACCCUCUCUGUCUGGUUUGCCCGUCAAAAUGGGCAUCAACAUGACCUCCCUUCUUUCUCUGCGUCUGAAGGGCAACAUCAACUACAGGGAUACUUCUCACUUCUCCCUGACUGGUUACAUCAAACCCAAGUACUUCCGCAUUACCGCUUGCAACAGGGGCUACAAGUUGGACAUUUUUCUCGGCAACUGUGCUCAAUAACCGGUGUCUCUCUCCUCAGUGCACAUGUGGGGCUGUCUGCCAGGAUGGGGGUUGACGGUGCUUUGGGUCAGGCUGCAGUGGACUGGGUCUCAGAGCUGAGGAGCUCCACCAGCCUGGAUGGAAGUGUUGAGAUGCAGGAGGGACGGGAUCUCAGGGUCACACUUAACACGCCAGAGGACGUCAUGGACAUCAUCUCUGUCAGGUAAGUGUCCACCUUUCAAGUAGUUACACCAUUUCAAAAUGUCCUUUGAUAGAUCUUAUGUGCCGUUGAAUGUUUACCAGCCCCAACAGCAUCACCUGGUUA
RNAcentral lists this long non-coding RNA (1180 nucleotides) under Sparus aurata (gilthead seabream). RNAcentral describes it as "lncRNA (ENSSAUG00010017249.1)". Lineage: Eukaryota; Metazoa; Chordata; Actinopteri; Spariformes; Sparidae. The record is from RNAcentral.